CGGGGGGAAAAGAAACCAACAGGGAUUGCCUUAGUAACGGCGAGUGAAGCGGCAAAAGCUCAAAUUUGAAAUCUGGCACCUUCGGUGUCCGAGUUGUAAUUUGAAGAAGGUAACUUUGGGAUUGGCUCUUGUCUAAGUUCCUUGGAACAGGACGUCACAGAGGGUGAGAAUCCCGUGCGAUGAGAUGACCAAUCCUAUGUAAAGUGCUUUCGAAGAGUCGAGUUGUUUGGGAAUGCAGCUCUAAGUGGGUGGUAAAUUCCAUCUAAAGCUAAAUAUUGGCGAGAGACCGAUAGCGAACAAGUACAGUGAUGGAAAGAUGAAAAGAACUUUGAAAAGAGAGUGAAAAAGUACGUGAAAUUGUUGAAAGGGAAGGGCUUGAGAUCAGACUUGGUAUUUUGCAUUCCUUACCUUCGUGGUGGGGUUCCUUGCAGUUUACUGGGCCAGCAUCGGUUUGGAUGGUGGGAUAAUGACAUUGGAAUGUGGCUCUGCUUCGGUAGAGUGUUAUAGCCAGUGUUGAUACCGCCUGUCUAGACCGAGGACUGCGUCUUGACUAGGAUGCUGGCAUAAUA
Molecule: ribosomal RNA, 569 nt
Filed under: Schwanniomyces occidentalis
Lineage: Eukaryota; Fungi; Ascomycota; Pichiomycetes; Serinales; Debaryomycetaceae
Description: eukaryotic LSU rRNA
Rfam family: Eukaryotic large subunit ribosomal RNA
Source: RNAcentral